GGGGCGUUAGCUCAGCUGGUAGAGCAGCGGACUCUUAAUCCGUAGGUCGUAGGUUCGACCCCUACACGCCCCACCA
Molecule: transfer RNA, 76 nt
Filed under: Betaproteobacteria bacterium
Lineage: Bacteria; Pseudomonadati; Pseudomonadota; Betaproteobacteria
Description: tRNA-Lys
Rfam family: tRNA
About the family: Transfer RNA (tRNA) molecules are approximately 80 nucleotides in length. Their secondary structure includes four short double-helical elements and three loops (D, anti-codon, and T loops). Further hydrogen bonds mediate the characteristic L-shaped molecular structure. tRNAs have two regions of fundamental functional importance: the anti-codon, which is responsible for specific mRNA codon recognition, and the 3' end, to which the tRNAs corresponding amino acid is attached (by aminoacyl-tRNA synthetases). tRNAs cope with the degeneracy of the genetic code in two manners: having more than one tRNA (with a specific anti-codon) for a particular amino acid; and 'wobble' base-pairing, i.e. permitting non-standard base-pairing at the 3rd anti-codon position.
Source: RNAcentral